This 327-nucleotide ribosomal RNA is filed under the name uncultured bacterium. Its description in RNAcentral is "bacterial SSU rRNA". It matches the Rfam family "Bacterial small subunit ribosomal RNA", at positions 192 to 507 of the family's 1533-position model. The record is from RNAcentral.
UACCGGUUGGGAAAGGUGCAACUGCACCGCAGAUGGAGGAGCCCGCGGCGCAUUAGCUAGUUGGUGGGGUAACGGCCCACCAAGGCGACGAUGCGUAGCCGACCUGAGAGGGUGACCGGCCACACUGGGACUGAGACACGGCCCAGACUCCUACGGGAGGCAGCAGUAGGGAAUCUUCGGCAAUGGGCGAAAGCCUGACCGAGCAACGCCGCGUGAGCGAAGAAGGCCUUCGGGUUGUAAAAGCUCAGUCACCCGGGAAGAGCGGGCAGGAGAGGGAAUGCUCCUGUCGAGACGGUACCGGGAGAGGAAGCCCCGGCUAACUACGUG